Non-coding RNA from Nerophis lumbriciformis (worm pipefish), 2611 nucleotides. The record is from RefSeq and is a predicted model, not a curated record. Lineage: Eukaryota; Metazoa; Chordata; Actinopteri; Syngnathiformes; Syngnathidae.
GCCUGCCGCCUUACCCUGUGGUGUACUUUCACCCUCUUGCUCCUAGGUCUGUAGAUUAUUCCAAUGUACUUGACUAUAUUGACAUGUUUAGUAUGUGUUUGUCGUAGACUCUUCCAUCCCGAUUGAGGCCGUGUCCACACAAACGGAUUAGACUCCUCGCACAUUUUUCACGGGUGUACCCCGCCUUCCGCCCGAUUGCAGCUGAGAUAGGCUCCAGCACCCCCCGCAACCCUGAAAAGGGACAAGCGGUAGAAAAUGGAUGGAUGGCAUUCUUAUAUCAAAGAUCUGUUGGCAUACUAAUCCAUUCACAUUCUGUCAUCAGGGUCUCCUUCGGGUCAUUAAAUAGUAUUGAAAGUCAUCAAGUAGAUUUUGUAAAAAUUAAGGCCUUAUAUAGCAAUUAAACAAUGCCCAGAGGCAUUAAAAAAAUCAUACAAUUGCCAUUGGCAACAAAAAAACAAAUGGACUAUUUUUUUUUAAGCAAAAAAUGCACUUCAAGAUGUUCAACAUUAAUUGAAGUUUAUUUUUUGCUAACAGAUUGAGUCUAUUUUAUGAGGUUUGUUUACCUAAUUAAGACAAUUGUUGUUCACCCCACAAUGGUUAAAAAAAACACUAAAAAAAAUUGCAAAAUAUGUUGCGUUUGAAAGGGUUAUACACAUUAUAUAUUAUGAUUACACGAGUAAACUUUAAUUAUUCAACAUUGUCUAAUGCUUACAAUUUUGUCUUUACAGACAAUUGUGGGUUUGACUAAGGAGCUGCAGCAAGACAUGGGAAUCAAAAUUGUUCUAAGUUUCAUUAAAAAGCAUUACAUUAGAUUUGCUGAUACCUGCAGAAACCGUAGUUCGGCCAAUAAGCCAAAAACAAACACAGGUGAUGCGGUUGUGCAUUCUAAUGCCCAAGUUCAAUGAGAUAAUGCUGCACUUCUUUUUUUAUCUGCCACACAAAAAGCUCAAUUUGUAAGGAUAAAUACCCGUUUCCAUGUAGCUGAGAAGCAUUUUUAACAUAUCCGUAUUCGAGUAGACAUGGCCUGAAUUUCAAAUUAAGGAAACCAUAGGAACUUGCUCACUACCGUAAAUUUCGGACAAUACCGUGCACUUAAAUUGUCCCUUUUUCUCAAAAAAAAGUCAGUGCGCCUUAUAACCCGGUGUGCCUAAUGUACGUAUUAAUUCUGGUUGUGCUUAUUUACCUUAAAGCAAUUUUAUUUGGUCAGGGUUUCCCCUAGAUUGCCAAGAUACCUAUCGUAUGAAGCCGUGGCCAAUGUGACCUCACAUUUGCUACGAUGCAUACAUUUUCUUUAAAAAAGCAACAACAAAAAUAAGUAUACAUUAGAAACAAUUUUGUUAUAAAUUUUAGUAUUAAUUGAUUUUAGGUAGAAAUAUCUCAUUUUACAUUACCAGAUCUAUAGGGUACACUUAUUAAUGAUGAAAAAUUACAUCUGUGAUACUGCGAUUCAUUUUGAUUUAACUAUGAACAAUUUGAUUGACGGGAUUAAAUAUUUUAAUUGUUUGACAGCCCUAGUAAUAACAUAUUUUCUUUACAUACUACUGUUUUGCUGUAUUUUUCAAUUGUACAAUGUACUUUGUUGAGAUUUUUUUUCCCAAGAGAAUUCGCCAAUCUUUUUAGUCACUAUUUCUUUAUUAAAAUUAGAAACAAACAUAGCAUCUAUUUCUGGUGUUAUUGUAGACUGUACUCGUGUUUAGAGACUUCUGUCACUCUAUUCACAAUAAAAACAACAAAAAGCGAGCUGCAAAGAGCCUGGCACAUGCUUCUUGAAAGCCGUCAGCGUCAUCUUAAAUUUUAUAGAUCGCUGUCGGCAGGUUUCUCGAAUAUAUUAAAGUACGCGGGCAUUCUGCCUCCGAUCCAGACAAAUUCGUUGCUUAUGGCUUACACUCUUGCAACAUUCUGUUUCCGCAGUGAGCUUGGUUGGCAAUAAAAGGUAAAACGAGCAUCAGAUUGUCUUUUUUCUGGACAUUACAAUACUUUAUAUUGCUUUUUGUUUUCAAGCAAAAACUCAAAUUUUAAGGUGAUGUUUCAUUAAGAUGAACAUUACACUCAAAUCUGUCAAAAUGUUUUAUUGCGAUUUUGGUCAUCUACGAAGCCGCACCGCUUGAAUUGUCGGUGCAAUACGGCUACUGCAGUCAGACGUACUGUGCUUCAACAUACAAGUAUUAUGGUGUGUGUGUUUAUAUGGAUCUCAAAAUUGCACCUAGUAUGAGACAUUAUCUGGCGUUUGUUUCGCAAUGUUAUGCAAAACCAACUUUUCUUGGUUCUUGCUGUUGUGUAUUCGCGAUCUACAUUAGUCCCGAAAAUGUGAGCGCGUCCGCCAUUGCAGUCCGCGGCAGAAGCUUUUUUUCCAUCCUCUUGUUGUGGGGCAUUCUUCCUCCGCUGUUGCCAUCUAAUAUAAAGUAGCGUACAGUCUUAACAUAUAUGUGGCAGUAGACUUGCUAUGGAAGUGCUAAAACUACUGUUAUAACAAAGAUGAAGAGGAGAAGACGCUGUCAAAGUGGAGCCAUGUAAAUAAGAUCGCCCACAAAACAGAAGUUGAGGAAGCGGCUCGAAGAUGGUCUGUAAAACAUCCAUCCAUGCAAAAUAUUGAUCAAAGAACCACCAUUAC